CUCAAGUGACAUUGAGGAGAAACUGUGCAAUUAUCCAGCUGUACUGACACCAUUAGGGAGCUUGUUCUGGAUCACAGAUCUGGGAGAUUAAGUUUUACUGCUUGAAGGAUACCCAUAUUCCAAAGAUUUACUUCAGUUUUCUGAAUGUGUUUUCCAGUAAAUAGCCAUUUGGAAAUGGGAACCAACUUUCUCUGGAAAUGGACUGGUCAAGCCCUUCAGUCCACUUGAAAACACUUUCCUAUUUCUGCCUGUAAUGCAGCCUUUCAGCCCCCUUCAAAAGUUGCAGCAUGGCUGGGUAGUACUCACACAUCAGGCCAUUUUCCAUCUGUGCAGUGAAAUGGAGUGCUAGUGCCCGAUGUGUUGGAAACUUCACUGCUUUUCACUUCUGUUUGGCUUUUUACCUUUUGCUGUUCUUUACCCUGAAUAAAAUUCCGACUUGUCCUGAAGUAUUUAUCAGUUAAAUGUGGCAUUGUAAUCAAUUUUAUGAGUUUUUAAGCCAAAGUGAAUAUCAAAUUGCAGCUGAGGGCACUCAGCACCGUACAGGGUGGGGCCCACAGUGAAAGCUGACAUUUGAGAAAUAAAUGUUGUAUAAUAGCUGUAAGGAUUUGUGAGAUUUCAUUGUGAAGUUUUGUGUGAACUGGUGAAAAAUUGUCAUGGAUAGAGUAAUGCACUUCACUCACAAGAAAGAAGAAACAAUGCAUUUUGUUUCUAUCAGGCAGUUUGUUAACAAAGUUCUGUGGUAAAUGUGACUGCUUUAACAAAAAUCCAUGGCAAUGUACAUGUGAUUAUUUACUGCUUGUGAACAGGGUC
Serinus canaria (Common canary) is the source of this 810-nucleotide long non-coding RNA. RefSeq lists it as uncharacterized. NCBI's taxonomy places the organism in Eukaryota, Metazoa, Chordata, Aves, Passeriformes, Fringillidae. The transcript is spliced from 5 exons. The record is from RefSeq and is a predicted model, not a curated record.